This 206-nucleotide long non-coding RNA is filed under the name Gossypium barbadense (sea-island cotton). Its description in RNAcentral is "long non-coding RNA (GBAR_LNC009507)". Lineage: Eukaryota; Viridiplantae; Streptophyta; Magnoliopsida; Malvales; Malvaceae. The record is from RNAcentral.
AUUCAGCACAAGAGCAUCGCAGAAAUUCUCGGUUUUGUAUGUACAUGUUGAUGAAUGCAAUGCGGUUUCAGUUUAACAUAAAAAGUCCUACACAACUCCGCUACACUCCACAGUAAGAUUUCCCCAGAACUCCUCUACCUUUACACCAUAGUGUGGAUGAACCACUAAACAUUGUAGAUGAACUGCUAGUACGAUGUAGAUAAACC